Molecule: ribosomal RNA, 218 nt
Filed under: Oceanobacillus caeni
Lineage: Bacteria; Bacillati; Bacillota; Bacilli; Caryophanales; Bacillaceae
Description: partial 16S ribosomal RNA
Rfam family: Bacterial small subunit ribosomal RNA
Source: RNAcentral
UUUUUGGAGAGUUUGAUCUUGGCUCAGGACGAACGCUGGCGGCGUGCCUAAUACAUGCAAGUCGAGCGCUGGAAGCUAAUUUCAUCCCUUCGGGAUGAAAUUAGUGGAAAGAGCGGCGGACGGGUGAGUAACACGUGGGCAACCUACCUAUAAGACUGGGAUAACUCGCGGAAACGUGAGCUAAUACCGGAUAAUACUUUUUAUUGCAUAAUAAGGAG